CCCUUAGAUGUCCUGGGCCGCACGCGCGUUACACUGAUGCAUUCAACGAGCUUAUAACCUUGGCCGAGAGGCCUGGGCAAUCUUGUUAACAUGCAUCGUGAUAGGGAUAGAUUAUUGAAAUUAUUAAUCUUGAACGAGGAAUUCCUAGUAAACGCAGAUCAUCAAUCUGCAUUGAUUACGUCCCUGCCCUUUGUACACACCGCCCGUCGCACCUACCGAUUGGAUGGUCCGGUGAAGCCUCGGGAUUGUGGUUCUUGCCGCUUUAUUGUGGCGUGACCGCGAGAACUUGUCUAAACCUUAUCAUCUAGAGGAAGGUGAAGUCGUAACA
RNAcentral lists this ribosomal RNA (328 nucleotides) under uncultured eukaryote. RNAcentral's name for it is "partial 18S ribosomal RNA". It matches the Rfam family "Eukaryotic small subunit ribosomal RNA", at positions 1470 to 1796 of the family's 1831-position model. The record is from RNAcentral.